CUUCAGGAUCGCUAGGGUUCCGGUCGUACCGCUUUAAAGGCUUCCAGAAGGCUUCAAAGCGCGCACACGAUGUCUGGUCCGAGAGCAAUCCGGUCUUGCCGUUCACCUUCUUUCAAGGCGCCGGCGAGGCUCCACGGAGGGAUAAAAGCCCGGGAGGU
Non-coding RNA from Burkholderia sp. ST111, 158 nucleotides. NCBI's taxonomy places the organism in Bacteria, Pseudomonadati, Pseudomonadota, Betaproteobacteria, Burkholderiales, Burkholderiaceae. The record is from Rfam.